RNAcentral lists this ribosomal RNA (478 nucleotides) under uncultured bacterium. RNAcentral describes it as "partial 16S ribosomal RNA". It matches the Rfam family "Bacterial small subunit ribosomal RNA", at positions 28 to 523 of the family's 1533-position model. The record is from RNAcentral.
GAGGAACGCUGGCGGCGUGCUUAACACAUGCAAGUCGAGCGAUGAAGUUCCUUCGGGAAUGGAUUAGCGGCGGACGGGUGAGUAACACGUGGGUAACCUGCCUCAUAGAGGGGAAUAGCCUUUCGAAAGGAAGAUUAAUACCGCAUAAGAUUGUAGUAUCGCAUGAUACAGCAAUUAAAGGAGUAAUCCGCUAUGAGAGGGACCCGCGUCGCAUUAGCUAGUUGGUGAGGUAACGGCUCACCAAGGCGACGAUGCGUAGCCGACCUGAGAGGGUGAUCGGCCAGAUUGGGACUGAGACACGGCCCAGACUCCUACGGGAGGCAGCAGUGGGGAAUAUUGCACAAUGGGGGAAACCCUGAUGCAGCAACGCCGCGUGAGUGAUGACGGUCUUCGGAUUGUAAAACUCUGUCUUCAGGGACGAUAAUGACGGUACCUGAGGAGGAAGCCACGGCUAACUACGUGCCAGCCGCCGCGGUAA